UGAGUGACCUGCCGAUUUGUGGGGGAUAGCCGGGCCAACGCCCGGGUAAUACCGCAUACGCUCUUCUUGGGGCAUCUCUAGAAGAGGAAACCUCCGGGGCAAAUCGAGGGCUCGCGGCCUAUCAGCUAGUUGGCGAGGUAACGGCUCACCAAGGCUACGACGGGUAGCUGGUCUGAGAGGAUGGCCAGCCACAUUGGGACUGAGAUACCGGCCCAAGACCUUCCCGUAACGGGGAGGCCAGCCGUAAGGG
RNAcentral lists this ribosomal RNA (250 nucleotides) under uncultured bacterium. RNAcentral's name for it is "partial 16S ribosomal RNA". It matches the Rfam family "Bacterial small subunit ribosomal RNA", at positions 118 to 360 of the family's 1533-position model. The record is from RNAcentral.